RNAcentral lists this long non-coding RNA (1465 nucleotides) under Homo sapiens (human). RNAcentral's name for it is "non-protein coding lnc-KIAA0513-5:1". Lineage: Eukaryota; Metazoa; Chordata; Mammalia; Primates; Hominidae. The record is from RNAcentral.
CCAGGCUAGUCUUGAACUCAAGCGAUCCUCUCACCUCAGCCUCCCAAAGUGCUGGGAUUACAGGCAUGAGCCACCACACCUGAAGAAUGGCUCUGUGCCCAGGAGGCAGAGGUUACAGUGAGCCGAGAUUGUGCCUCUACACACCAGCCUGGGUGACAGAGCAAGACUCUGUCUCCAAUAAAUAAAUAAUAAAAACUUUUGAAAAAGUAGUCAUUCAAUAGAUCUGCACUGAAUGAAUGAGUGAACUCACUAUGAUUGGUCCCUUUUCUAGACAAACAGGACCAGAGAGGUUGAGCAGUGUGCUCCCGGUCACACAGUGAAGAGGUGGAGAGCCAGGAUGCCGCCCCAAAUGUGCCUUGAACUUCUUAGCUGCUGUUAUACCCCCUCGUAGACUCACUUCAUCCUCACCACCCUGUGAAAUCUCUUUGUACAGCUGCAGAAACUGAGAGUCAGAUGUAAGCCAUUGACCAAAUGAAGUACAGGAGCAGAGCCAGCUGGCAGGUGAGCAACACUAGGCUAUGAAAGCUCUGCCGUUUCGGCUGCGCCACACCCCUCUGGAAAGAGCCCACAAUCCUAGCUCUGUGCCAAGCCAGCCUCCUCGAGGGCUUGCCUUAGGCACGGGUCUCCUACAGUGGGUACCAUGACCACAUCCACUGAGUCCUUCAGAAGCAAGCCCCUGCCCAUUUGUCCUCAGGCUACAAUAACCCAGUCCUCAUCUUGUCUACCUUCUCCCUGCGAUCCUGGUUUUAAACUCAUAUUUAUUCAUUCAACAAGUGUACCUGGUACCAUGCUAAGUGCUGCAGACACAUGAGUGAGCAAAGCUAGGCAAAGCUCCUGCCUGUUAUGGAGCUUAGAGUCCAUUUUCACAAAUGCAUAAUUGCAAACGUGUUUCUGUGGAGGAAGAUGAUAUUAUUUGCUGAGAUGAUACACCCAGGACUCUGACUUGGUCUGGAGGUCACAUGCAGGGAUUCCUUUAGGAUGUGACAUGUGAAAGACAUGGAUAUUUGUUGAGCAAAGGAGCUUGAGGUCAAAGGAAGUGGGUUCUGGGCAAAGGGACACGCAGGCAGGUCCUACAGUAGAAAGGAGCAUGGAUUCUUUAAGGCCCUGCGAGGGUCAGUGUGUGGAGGGCAAGGGGAAGCGGUUCGAGACCACACAGAAAGCUUGGAAGGGCCAGGUCAUGCUGGGCCCUAGCAACAGGUGAAGGACGCUGGCAUAUGUGAGGGGCAGAGGAAAGCCACUGAAGGACUGGAGCACAUUUGUGGUUUUUAAAGGUCACUCCAGGCCAGGCACAGAAGCUCACAUCUGUAAUCCCAGCAUUUUGGGAGGCUGAGCGGGGAGGAUUACCUGAGCCCAGAAGUUUGAGACCAGUCUGGGCAACAUAGUGAGUCCCCAUCUCAACAAAAAAUACAAAAAUUAGCCAGUUAAGGUGGCACACACCUGUAGUGCCAGCUACUCAGGAGGCUGA